Long non-coding RNA from Xiphophorus hellerii (green swordtail), 6454 nucleotides. RefSeq lists it as uncharacterized. The transcript has 7 exons. NCBI's taxonomy places the organism in Eukaryota, Metazoa, Chordata, Actinopteri, Cyprinodontiformes, Poeciliidae. The record is from RefSeq and is a predicted model, not a curated record.
AGCGCUGUCCAAUCAGAUCGGGGAGCUACAACCGCAGCGUGAACAGGGGAGGACGCACCUAUUCCAGUUGCACAAUGCUGAGAGAGGAUAGGCGAAACCUUGGACCACCAACGGCAAAUUGGCAAUCUGGGGGAGGCUGUCAACGGGCCGCUAUGGUUCGACAAUCCACAAACAGCUGGGGGUCGUGGAGACGGGGGCUGCCAGGGUACAAAGCGACGCAUCAGUGGCCAACCAUGGGAAAGAGCUGUCAACACGCUUGCCCAGCUGGCAGUCACAACGCUCCCACGGGGCCCACAGUCGACUGAAGUGAAGAGUUAAGGAUGCUGAGGGAUCAUAAGGGAUACCUGCAGGAGCAGGGGAAUCUUAACUCUGAUGAACCUCUGUCAACAAGAUGAAUAGUUGGCCCAGCAUCAAAGGCAGACUCCAGCCGGCCAUUCUGACCACCACAAAGGGGCGUUGGGCGCUGGCGCGGGGCCAGGUGCUACACAUGGUCACAUGGGGACAAGCAGUGCAGAUGGGCCCUGCAGAGGCCUUGUCGCCCUCCACCCCCACGCCUGCACACCAGAGAGCACAGAUCUAAGACUUGGGCCGCCUGUGGAACUGAACCAGCUGAGGACUGCCUACAGUUGGAUUCCAAGGUUGGACCAUGACCAAAAGGAGCUGAAGGAGGAUUUUCAGAACAUUUUUCAGUAUCUUGGCUUCCAGGAGUGAAAAAUGGAGUUUAGGCAUCCAAAACAAGGAAUUGGCUGAGGUGCGGAAGAAAUCAGUAGGACACGCUGCAAUAACAAAUGGACACAACAAAAGGCGGGACAAGAGUCAGACAAUAAUAAAGACAGAGGAGGGGGAAGAAGAGAAUAAGCAGCCGGAUCUUAACUUCCUGGGUGUGUGCUGGCCCGAGAGGCCACCCUAAAGGUCAUUUUUACACGAGACUUAACUGUAACAAUGAGAUUUCAGAAAAGAAAGAAAAACAUUGGCCCCCCUCCACAUGGAGACCCUUUUUUUUCUAAAAAUAGGUUGUGGGUUUAAAAUAAAAACUCACGUUCACAUGGAACUGUUUCCAGAAAUGUUUUCAACCACUAUUUUUACUCCUCCAGACCUGUAAGUGGCGCUAAACAUGGACGUUGGGACAUGCAAGUAAAACCUCCACAUGUGGUCACCAGUAAAUACAAUAAGGAAAACAGCGCGAGUGGAGCCUUUUGUGUAGAGCCCUGAUGACAUUGAACUUCUUCUCCGUGUCAUGUCGAAUUAUAAAACACAUAAAUUACAAGAUGGCAAACAUGUAAACUACCAUUUUUGUUGCCAUGUAUUACAUGCCUGUUGUUGUAAGUCAGGUUAGAAGUAUCAGUGUUUUCAGAAAUAGCCAUUUUUUCUGUUUAUGUAAUCACAAAACUUUAAUUUGUGCCAUUUAUGAAAACAAAAAUAUGGAUUCUAAGUUUCCCCAGCUAUUAGAAGUCACUGCUGUUGAUUACUGGUUCAGGGCUAGAAGAGUGAAAAUAUAAAAAAACCUAUUAUUUUUAAUAAAACAUAGCAAUAAAAAGAAGGGGAAAUAGAUCAAAUCAACACCACACACAGAACACACAAGGACAGAGUGAAAUGAAAAGAUGAGAUCAUAGAUCAGUUUCUACAACAUUUGAUGGGUCCUAUUGGUUGUCUGAUGUGGCUGACUCUUUCGCUCAUGAAAAUCUGUCCUGUAGCAGCUUGUUGUCAAACUCCUUCAUAAAUCAGAGCUUGUAUGAAAUACCAGCAGGAGGCAAAGGUCAAAGGAGAAAAUUAGCAGCUGUCCUUUCCUUUCCUUUCAUGUUAGCUGUGGGGCUAAUCACCAAGUCUGCCAUCAGCCUCAUUUCCACUUUAAAACAACGUUGCCGACGACGGGGGUGGGGGCUUUUCCCCUCUGCUUACAUUUUAUGGCACCAGUGACCAGAUUUUUAUCUGUGCAGAAAGUAGGGGAGACAUGUAGUUUAGAAUGAGGGGCUGUACAUUUCUCUCAGCCUUUUGUUUCAGCAUUCAUUUCUGCACAUCGUCUUCAGGUUCUGCUUCUUUCAUGCAGCUCUGUCGACACACUUCAGCAGCUCCAGAGCAGCGGUGAUGACGGCUGAACUUCUUUGCCUCUGCUCAACUCCAAGGUGGUUCUGCUAGUUAAUGUGAAGCCUGGUGAACUUUGAUGAUCCCCUCACUCUCACAGUGUCUGUUGUUCUCUUGCUGUACUGAUUCAACUUCAAAGUAGAUUAAAAAAAUGUAAUUAUGGCCUAUACUUGUUAUCACUAGAAUUAACGUUAUGGAAGUGUUUCCCAAUAUCUUGAAGGGAAGUUUUUCAGAUUUUUGGUGUCCCCAUUAGACAUAAUGUGUUUCAAUAAUGACUGAGAUGCUAAAGAAAGAGAAAAGACAAUGUACAUAGUUUGUCAAUAAUAAUAUUCAACAAUUCCUCGAUUGCAAAGGUUUUUCUAAGGCUGUGGACCCAUAUGAUAGACCAAGAUUUGCUAAUAUAAGUUAGUAGCAAUGGGUUUUUGUUUGUUGCAACAGAAUAAAGGGGUGUGAUUAUUAGUAGACACCACACUUUUCAGGUUUUUACUUCAUGUAAUGUUCCUUCCUCUUCACAAUUGUGUACUUCAAGUUGCACUGUCACAUGAAAUUCCCAUUAACGUCUUUGCAUUUAGUUGUAACGUGACAAAAUGUGAGAAACUCCAGUUGGUGUAAAUACUUUAGCCUGACAUUGUAUUUCAUUCUUGUUUAGUUUUGUGUUCCUCUUUAAGGUUUCCUGCUGGCAGAUGAGUUUUUACUGCUGCAUAUAACAUAUUUUAUCUCAUUUAAAGCUGCAGAAGGUAAUCUUUAUAAAAAGUAGGUUCUUUACAUGUUUUUUUUUUAAUUAUCACUUUGUCUUGAAAGUAUAUUAUCAGAAAGAUCAUCUGUGGAAAAUGUGAGCGCUACCAUCUACAGAAAUACACCAAUCCCAGUCAGAAACAACCAAUCAGACCUAAGGGGAGAGUCUUAGUGCUGCCAAUCAUCCUUGUGUAUGUACUGCUCACAACAUCACCUUGUGUACAAGAUCUAGAUUGCAGGUUUGCUUCAUAUUUGCUAAUGGAGGAGAAACAACAUAAUGUUACAGGAAAACUGUUCAUGCAGUGUCAUCGGUGGCCAUGCUAACUAUUCUGCACAUUCACUGUAGGCUAGCUGUAGCGUAGCAAAGAGCAAGGGGGAGGGUGUGGGCAGCGAGUACACAAGGUGAUUGGCAGCACUAAGACUCUCCUCCUAGGUCUGAUUGGUUGUUUCUAAUCAGGAGCAAUGUUGUAGGUCUCCUAGUGCAACUUUAAUGACAAGAUAUGAAUGAUUUUCUAAUCAUAUGAGUUGAUUUUGAAGUAUUUCUGAACUUUGGUUUAACUAACAUCACCAGUAAGUGAUAAAAAGAGAUUUAUUUUCUCCUUUUUUGUUUGCUAUUCGCUACUUCUCAGGACAAAAGUUUCACAAGUUUUCUCCUAUGAGACAUGUUUUCAACCCCACAUUCAAUGUGGCUAAAAUGCAUAAAAAUGACAUUAUACAUAUUUUUUCUGUCCUUUUACAGCUCUCUCUCUCUCCACUCUUUGACCCCUUUCUCCCUUUUUCCCCUUUAUGUACUUUCAUUUUACAUCUCUCUUCUCCAGUUCUGCACCCUUUCUCGAUCUUUUUUUCCCUCUCUGUGGGAAAGUUUUCCCUAUCGGUUGUCAAAGCAGUCAGUGAGGUGCAAAGCAGCGUAGCUUUGAUGAUGUUCCUCUUUGCCUAUCUGCUGUGCAAUAUGUUUUGAAACUCUCCCUCCCCUCUGCACACCUGCUGAGAAGCUGCAUGAUACUGGGAAACAUUCCACAAUAGGGUCAGAACACUUUUAUCUUAGUUUUAGUUAUGGAUUUGGAAACUCUUUCAGGAUUAAAGGAACGUUAUGCAGCUGGCCGGAGCUGAGCACCUGUAUGAUUGCUCUUUUUUGCUUCAUGUGGGACUUCCUUUAUUCCCAGUAGGUGGGUCUGGCUCGCUAAAAAAUAUCACUGCCUUAAAGAAGAGAGAAAAAAAAGUGAAGAUCAGUGUUUCAUUCUGGAGCCAAACAUUCUGUUUUGCUCAAAACCAUUUUGUUUGUACAUUCAUGAGUCAUUGCGGUUUGAGACUGAAAGUGAUUGAAUGCUACAAAUGAGGCUUUUGGGUGGUUUUUGCCCAGUAACUUCACUUUGUGAUUUCAUAUGAGAUACUUUUGGAGAUUGGCGCGCAAAGCGCAGCCUAAAGAGACUGUGACUCACACUGAAACCAUGAAAGUUUGUUAAUUAUUAUUUAACUUCGUCACAGAAAAGCGAGGAGUUUUGAGUUGUUUGGUUCUUUGAUUCUACGUUUGCAGUUUGGGUGGGUGAGUUUACUUUACUGAGUAAACAAACAAAGACAUGUUACUUUCACAUUUGGGAUUCAUUGAACGUUUAUGCAAUCCCAUAUUUUAAGAGGAUAGCCAUGCUCCAAUGUAUGAAUCAUGGGGCUGCGGUAGACUUCUUGUCCUUUGAAAUUCAGCAUUUACUUAUACUAAACACAAAUCCAGUACUUUUCCAACUGUAUUGUAUGUAAAAAGCACAAGAUCCUACCAGUAUUGCAGGGACUACUUUGGUAGUAUAAAUUGUUCUUAAGGACAGUCUGCUUUGGCCAGGUGGCCACUAAAAGUGCUUGGCAUUUGCCAUUUGAAUCUAAAGGUUUGCACCAUACACAGCAAAAGCAGUCGCUCAUCUGCCUUCAGAUGAGAGAAGGCAGAUGAGCGAAACGACGUGCUGUCCCAUUUUGAAUCGAUAUAAUUUAUCAAAUCCUUUUGAAACUGCUUCAACUCUUCUGUGAAGGUUUCCUGUGAGAGUUUGUGUUUAUGGGACAUUGGACCUUUCUUCCAGAAGCUCAUUUGUUAGGUCAAACACUGAUGUUGGACCAGAAGGCCUGGCUUACAGUCUCAUCUCUAAUUUAUCCAAAGUUUGAGAUUUUGGAAUCAAAAUUUGUGUUACUUAUGAGCAGAAAAAAAACCAGCUCUCUUUUUGCCACCCUGGACUUUCAUCUGGCUUCUUUUGUCUACAUGCUGUUGCUGUGGCAUCAGAUAAAUAUUCAACAAUAGGAAUGAGAGAUGAAUGCAUGUUUAUCACAUCCUGUAUUCCUACAUAAUGUGAAUCUAACUUUAAAAUUAAACUUAAUAGUGUUGUUGCUUUUAUCAUCGUCCUUCACCUGGUCAAACAUUUUUACGGGAUGAUUGAGUUAUUUUGUCUCUUUUUCUGUCAGUACAUCCUGUGAAAUGCUCUGAGUCCAGCAGCAGGAAGCAGCUUGGUGUUUAAUGGGGCAGAAUGUGAAUAAAAAAACAAGGUUGAACGUAACAACACAGACCAGUCUUUUCCGUGAGGAUGGUAAUGGAAUAUAUGAUUAAUUCUAUGAACACAGACGGUUGUUUGGUUUGUUUCACGGAAUCUGACUUUGUGUCGACACCGCCGCGCAUCAUUCAUACCUUUUAGUCGGAGCGUGACAGAACUGGCAGGGUGUGGAUAUGCUGAUAUCACAAGGACCGUCUGUACCACUUGUUCUUCAGACAAAGACUCGUUGUCACCUCUCUCUGUUUGUUUUAUGGUGUUUUUUUCUGUUUCUUGUUGCUAUCAUGUGAAGAUAUAAACAGUGGUGUUGUGCACCAUCCAGUGAGCAGAACUCAUUAAUCAGUCAUAAUGAUACAUUGACUUGCUGUUCAGAUAGCCUCAGUCUAUUUGCUUUUGCAUUGCACAGUUUACAACUGGUGUCUACAAUGCCAACGGUGAACAUAAAUUCAUUUUUGCAUCAGUCUGUCAUUGAUUUAUUGUCCUCUUGUAUUUAAGAAGAGGACAAAAAGCAUCUCCUAACAAUAUUACAUGUUUUACCAAACUAUGGCCAUCGCUUUCAUUCAGCAGUACUCGUCAUAGUGUCAGAAUCGUAGUCUAAAAUAUCCAAAUUACAGCCUUAAUCAAUGGCAUGUUUUUGUCUCAGGUAUAAACAAAAUUCUCUGGUAUCUCUUUCAAAUGAGUUAUGUCUUCCUAGCACUGAUUGCAUGUUUUAUGCAACCUGGUUUAAAUACAACCCAGUACUACUGUCUUAAAUAGACGCUUAAAGCAGGAGCUUGACGAACAGUCGCCUUAUUUUGUGUUACAUGAGUGUAGAGGUCAGAAGUUAAUUCUUAGCUUUUUUUUUAACUUGUUCAAAUAUGUUUGGCGCUUACGCAAUCACGUUUAUGCUUUUGUAUGUUUUUACUGUUGAUGUAAAAACAUUUGAUUAGACAUUUGAUCUACCCCAUUCGGAUUUUAAAGUUGGAGGGACAACUUCUUAAAUUUUCUGUGGUGUAAUCUGUUCAUUCACUCAGCCUAGUUUUUGAUUGGUUAGCUUUGUGACAUGUGAACAAGAACAAGGAAGUAAAACGUGCAAAGAAGUGUGGAGAAGAGUAAAGAGCUGUUUAUAAAGGUAA